Long non-coding RNA from Musa acuminata AAA Group (dessert banana), 1167 nucleotides. RefSeq lists it as uncharacterized. The record is from RefSeq and is a predicted model, not a curated record. The transcript is spliced from 2 exons. NCBI's taxonomy places the organism in Eukaryota, Viridiplantae, Streptophyta, Magnoliopsida, Zingiberales, Musaceae.
GCCAUCCUCUCCAAAUGGUAGACAUCUCUUUCCUUCGUGAAUCAGUGGUUGCCGGAUUGCUUGUGCCGAUCUCGAUCGUGGAAUACUUUCUUCUCUUUGGAUCGAACUCCAAACGUAGUGGCCUUUGGAAAUUAGGGUAGACUCGGCGUGGUAAUGUGCACAAAUCCCCAUCACGCGGUGAUGGUGAAAUCAUUCGUCGUCUCUUCCCUACCAACUAUCCUGGACCAAUCUGUGAGAGCCAGCUGGUGGAGCUGAUUCAUGUCAUGUCCAGAGUCCAUGACAUCUACAUCUCCAUCUACCUCUUGCCCUCAUAUCUCUCUCUUUUUCUUUUGUUGAGCUGAACGAAUGCCGGCGGUGGAAAGGUGUUUUCUUCUUAGUCCAAUUGGCUGAGGUGGUAGAAAUGUCAGGCCAUUCAUGUCCAACUCCUCCACUAAUCCUCCUCGUUUCAUGCUGGAAAUAUUUCUCGAUGAUAGAUUUCCACGAGAAUAUCCAAAGAACUCCAUGAGAAAGAGAACAGCUGAACACAGAAAUGGUGGAUUAUCACAAUAGUUGAAAGAUCAUACAGCACAACACAGCACAGGGUUUCUGAGCUUUACACACCCUCUCUGCAACCUACAACAAGAAAGCUUAAAGAUAGUACUGUUUCCUUCACGUAACUCAUAUGAAAAGAAGAAAGACAAGCUACAGAGCAGGAGCUUCUUCUUCUUCUUCUUCUUCUUCUUCUUCUUCUUCUUCUUUGAUGCUUCCUUCACCUAUUGUGUAAGGGAUUCGGGCCAGUGGGUACGACCCGCUUGUCAUCAUCAACGGUGCUAUCAUUCUGCUUGGCUCGAACGAGAAGGCCACAGAAUCUAAUCUUCUUCGAUCGGCAGCGAUGGAGGCCACCGGUGGCAACUCUGGCGGCUGCCGUUCUGUUUUCUGAUCUCUUGCCUACUCCCGUUGCAUGGCCGCGGUUCCCAUGGACCUCUCCAGCCAACCCCUGUGAGAAGAUACCAGCGAUUACCAGAAUUAAGCACGUAACCAAGGCGGUCGGAGCCCCCUUCUUCCUCAUCCCUCCUUCCCUAUGCCGAGGCCAUGAUCAGAAGUGGUAGAAACAUGAGGCAGAUCGAGAGAUGCACCAGAGAGAGAGAGAGAGAGAGAGAGAGAGAGAGAGAGAGAGGGGAAGAACAG